AGCGGGCGGGGCCUGCACGGGCAGCCUGGCUGUGGGGGUCUCACGCCUUUGGCCCUGCAAGCUGAAGCUCUGCGCCUGGGUCCGGGAGUAGGCGAGGCUCUCAGCAGGGACUUGCAAAGCUAAUGGCAAGGUGCUGGCCCUCCUGUUCGUGGGGAAGGGGGGACGUGACCCGCGUGUACCCCAAGGUCAGAUACCGAGGGCAAGUCACAAGACCCCAACUGCCCUGAUUUGUAAGCAAGUCUGACACCGAGGCAGCGUGAGGCUGACAAGCUGCAAUGGGAACUUCAAGAGGAGAGCAGGAGGAGAGAGAACCUGCGCAGAAUAGCUGAUGCUACGGAGAAGAGAAGUUGGAGAAACUGCCCCCUUCAUCCAGGAGGUAAUAAAUAAUGUAAAUUUCUUGCUCAGCAAGGCGCUUCUCUCCUUAGGAUGAACUCAAAUGGGAUCACCCAAUCCCUUUUCCACACUCGCAGCAAGCAUUCACUGGACAGCAGGCUCCACUCCACUAAGGCGGAGGUCAGAGUUCAGAGCUGUGCAAAGCAAGCCCCUUUGCCUGCAGCCAGGGGUGACUGAACUAUAUUAGUUCACCCCUUAUAUUCGUGAUUCCUUUAAAUGUUGCACUGUUGUGUAGCUGACUUGUUAGCAUGUUUAAUUCUGGGCUGGAAACGUCCACCCCAGUAGCUGGGCUUACAUGCAGUGUGGGCACUGCAGGGCAGUAUUAGGGGUUUCCCAGGUCCUUGGAGUGCCCCAGCCCCAGAAGCUUCCCAAUAUGAGAGAGGAGCAGACCUCACCCCCUCCCACUAAGGAGAGAAGCUGCUUACCCUGUUCACUGCCCUCAUAGUGGUCAGAGAUAGUAUCACUUUCACACACAUAGCGAGUGCUCUGCUAACCAUCAUCUGCUCCUGGAGCAGGUUCAUAAUAGGUGCCCUGGAGAGCCCUCCUCUGGGGUCCGCAUCCUUUGCCUCUUGUCAAGGGCUGCGGGCUAUGCCGCACACAGCUGCAGAGUGAAACUUACAAAAGUCAAAUAAAUUUAAUUCUGUAGUCAUGGAAUCAUAGAAGCUGAAAGUGGAACUGAUCUGUCACAUUACCUAUCCCAUCCCCGUGGUUAGUGCUCUGCUAUAGACUGAGGGAGAGAGAACAGCAAGUGCAUGGGGACAGGUGCUGAAGGACUGGCCAUAUGGGAAAUAAAAAGAGUAGGCGAGAGGUUUCCUCAUGCAGGACAAUCCUGCUGAGAGCAGGAAUGUCGGAAGAUAUGCAACCUUACAGGAGACAAAAAGAAGAACAGGAGUACUUGUGGCACCUUAGAGACUAACAAAUUUAUUAGAGCAUAAGCUUUC
Trachemys scripta elegans is the source of this 1334-nucleotide long non-coding RNA. RefSeq lists it as uncharacterized. The transcript has 3 exons. Lineage: Eukaryota; Metazoa; Chordata; Testudines; Emydidae. The record is from RefSeq and is a predicted model, not a curated record.